This 1077-nucleotide long non-coding RNA is filed under the name Equus caballus (horse). RNAcentral describes it as "lncRNA (ENSECAG00000044043.1)". Lineage: Eukaryota; Metazoa; Chordata; Mammalia; Perissodactyla; Equidae. The record is from RNAcentral.
GAGAGAUUCUUCUGCUAGCUUUGAAAACAUAAGUUGCCAUAUGGUAUGUUAUGAGAGAGCCACAUAACAAGGAAAUGGGGGGGGGGGGUAAGUUAUGGGUUAGAGCUAUAAGAGCUGAGAUUGGUCAAAAAGAAGGGACCUCAAUCUUAUAUGGCAGGGAAAUGAAUUCAGUCAUCAAUCAUAUGAGCUUGGCAGAGGACCCCAAGCCUCAGAUGAAACCCAGACCCCACAUACCCUGAUUGCAGCCUUGUGAGACACUAAGCAGAGGAUCAAGAUCUAUUCAUGUAGCUGAUUCCACUAAUGGAUUCCCUAAUACGGUUGCGCUCUCUCCAUAGAAACACGCGGCACGGCAGCUCCUGCAGUGAGUUCUCUCUCAGACGACCACAAAGAACACAAGAGAGAGGAUUUUCUACUCUAAGUACAUUCCAUGGAAAUGCUGAAGCAGAGAAGUGUGCAGUGAAAGGGUUAGAGAGAUGUGCGGCAGGAUAUAAAUCCCCACAUGACUCGGACACUGGGAGAGCCAGCAGCAAUGAGGCAUCUGUCUCUGGGCUUUGAGUAGCCUUUUCAGUUAAGCCCUGAAUGCUAUGCAAUUAUGUAAUUUUCUAGAUCUGUCAAGAAGCAAAAAUGUUUGGGAACCACUAUUUUAUUUUAUUAAUUUUUUCAAAGAACAGAAUUUUGGGUUUGUUGCUCACAAAAUAAGACAUAUAUAAAUACCAAAUAAGCAUUCGAAAAUAUGUUCAACUCCUUAUUCUUCAAAGGAAUGGAAAUAGAAAUAUAUACCAAUACUUAUCCUUUAGAAAGUCUAAAUUUUUUAAAAACUAGAAUUACCAUAUUCUGGUGAAGACAUGGAACAAGUCAAAUUUUCAAACAAUGAUAGUGAGGUGUUUAAAAUUUUACAACCACUAUUUGAAACAUUUUGGAAGUUUUUUAUAACAUUAAACUUAAUUUACCCCAUAACCUGCUAAUUCAUUCCUAUAUAUAUAUAUAUAUAUAUAUACUCAAGAUAAAUGAAACAUAUGUCCAAAAAAUUGUACAAAAUUUUCUCAGCAGUUUCAUUUAUAUUAAUCAAAAAUGGAA